AUUGAACGCUGGCGGCAUGCCUUACACAUGCAAGUCGAACGGUAACGGGUCCUUCGGGAUGCCGACGAGUGGCGAACGGGUGAGUAAUAUAUCGGAACGUGCCCAGUAGUGGGGGAUAACUGCUCGAAAGAGCAGCUAACACCGCAUACGACCUGAGGGGGAAAGGGGGGGAUCGCAAGACCUCCCGCUAUUGGAGCGGCCGAUAUACGAUUAGCUAGUUGGUGGGGUAAAGGCCUACCAAGGCAACGAUCUGUAGUUGGUCUGAGAGGACGACCAGCCACAGUGGGACUGAGACACGGCCCAGACGCCUACGGGAGGCAGCAGUGGGGAAUUUUGGACAAGGGGCGCAAGCCUGAUCCAGAAAUGCCGCGUGCAGGAAGAAGGCCUUCGGGUUGUAAACUGCUUUUGUCAGGGAAGAAAUCUUCUGGGCUAAUACCCCGGGAGGAUGACGGUACCUGAAGAAUAAGCACCGGCUAACUACGUGCCAGCCGCCGCGGUAA
This 500-nucleotide ribosomal RNA is filed under the name uncultured bacterium. Its description in RNAcentral is "partial 16S ribosomal RNA". It matches the Rfam family "Bacterial small subunit ribosomal RNA", at positions 29 to 523 of the family's 1533-position model. The record is from RNAcentral.